GUAAAACCGGCACGUAGCUUGCAGGGGAAAACAUGGCGGUGUGUUCAUGGCUCUUUCCGGGUGGACUUGGCGUCACGGCGGCCAUGAUAGAUGUUUUCUAUCCUCCGUGGAGUUACUGUGAGGAGUUUGAAAAUAAGAAGAUGGUGAACACGCCAAACGUGGAAGACUCUUCAUCGUGAGGACGUCAGCAAGCCGGCGUUUGCCUAAAUAUCUGCGGGUCAUUUCAACGUGGACGGUUUCUGGUCACCUCCCGUCCCAGAGCUCGCGGGAGGGACCGUUUGUCCGACGCGUGGGCCUUCCUUCAUCUGUAGCCUGUUAAUCCGGCUCCCUCCCAACUGGC
Molecule: long non-coding RNA, 340 nt
Organism: Gasterosteus aculeatus aculeatus (three-spined stickleback)
Lineage: Eukaryota; Metazoa; Chordata; Actinopteri; Perciformes; Gasterosteidae
Source: Ensembl